GUAUGAAAAUGCAGUGUGCAAUCCACGUAAAUGGAUAUUGGCAUAAAAGAACAUAAAGACAGAUUAAAUUGCUGUAGUUCCCAACAGGUGACAACAACUGAUUAGCUCUAUAUAAUACACCGGUAGGAAGGCAGAAAGGAAGGCAAGAGCAGAAGUCUGAAGGAAGGAUGCUGAAGAGGCCAGUAUGCAGCUGCAGUAUGGUGCAUGCCAUAUUUGCAAAACAGAGCUUGGCGCGUCUGCAUAACUCAUUGCUGUGGAAAGAGUCAUCAGGAUGAUGAAUUGAAACACAGCCAUCUCCAUUAUGGUGAAGUCCCAUGUCCCUGAAGACAAAAGCAAAACUCUCAUUGAGAUCUGACCCAAUGUGCUUCUUCUGGGGGAUGAGGGCUGCUGGUUGCAUCUGCACCUCUUCAAAAGCCACCAGAAGUCAUCCUUCAGGUGAAAACACCCGAGCCCUUUACUCCUUCUCAGUGGGAAUGUUUCUGCGGUGGCUUUGGCACCCGACACCCCCCGUUGCAGCAGCUGGGGGCCAGGCAGCUGCCCACACUGGUACCUGUGCUGCUGGCCUGGGGGCUCCACGGCUCAGCCCCAACCACUGGCAGCCCCCAGCGAGCAGCACAGGCUGUGCAGCCAGCAGCAAGUGCCAUCUGGCGUGUUACGACUUCGUGCUGCGAUAUCAGUUUUUUUUUUUUUUCCCUGUGGAAGGCUGUGUAUGUAAAUGUGAUGCUCGCUUCCUCGGCUGCCGGCAGCCAGUGGGGAACUUUGCUCCAGUAAAAACAAACUGAGCUGAGCAAGUCUCUCCCUAAUCCUCUCUUAUUCUUUGAAACAGGCAGGGCUCAAAGGGAUUUGCAGCAUGUUUCUCAGGAUGAACCACUGGUGAUUAACAUUCAUGCCAGGGCUGCUCCUCGUACAUUUUUAAUUCCAGUUACGCAAACCUCCGGGCAGAUGUAGGGGCACACCAGGAUCACAGGUGACCAGGUACAGGGGGCUUGGGUGCCACAGCCUGGAAAUGCCUGCGGCAGAGUGGCAUGCAGGUGAUCUCUAAGCAUUUGGGGUGCAUAACAUGUAUAUUAAAAUAUACUCCGUAAAAAUAAUCACAGGUUGCAGAAGAGAACUGACAGCUCUGCAGUAAGGGAAAGGCUUUAUACCACCCUGUCAUGCCAUGCGUGUCAAAACAGAUUGCAUUGUCUGGAGAACUUGUGUGAGCUUGUAUUGCCCUCAUUUUUGAAAGAACUGAAGAACGCAGAGAAGACGAGUAAACUGCCAAGGCUGUGACAAGCCCCCUCCACAGGGUGCCACACUGUGGGGUGAACGGGGGGGUCCCCAGGGCUGGCACACUGCGUGCCCCAGAGAUGUUCCCUCAGUGCUUCUUUGCAGCAGUCAUGUUCUGAAAGCAGAACCAGGACUUGCCAUCAGCAGGAGCAUUUCUCCAGCAAAACACGGGCAAGCAUUGCACAUGGUAACCCAUCCUCCAAAGAGCUUUCACUCAUAUUUGAAACCUGGCCUUAAUCUGAUUGUAUUUACUUAAAAUGAGCAAUGACAGAUCGAUUGGAAUUUUGAUUGAGAAAGUAGUGAAAGGUCUGGCUCAGAAGAUGGAAAAUCUGACUAUCUGACAACAUCAUACAGAGACCUCGCCUUAGAUAGUAAUGAAAAAAUAUUCCGUAAGUGAGCCUGGAUGAUUCUUUACAUAUUUCUUGUUCACUCCUUAGAGAACAAUCUCUGUCCCUUAAAAAUAGAAGAGAGGAGAAAUGUUCUCGCAGCGGCGUUCCAGCUGGACGCAGACGUCCCCCUCCUGAUUUAUGCCCCACGUGUCGGAGGGGAAACGGCCCGAGCUGCGUGUCCCCUCGGGCUGCUGGGGCAUGGCGCUCUGCAGAGCUCCCGCGGGUACCCAGCAGAGCUGUGCCGAGACCUCAAGAACGAAAAUGUUAAGAAAUCAGAAGUUCACAUUAUAUAUUGAACUUUUACAUGCAUAUUUCUACUUUGUUUUAGACUGCGUGCAUUGUCGAUGCCAGCAGUCCAUGUACUUUAACUCCAGGAUGUCCCCGAGGCACAGGUGUGGGUGAAAGGGGUUUAUCUGCCCACUCGUGGUCUCUACAGGGCUGCACAACUGAUGUUUUCCUCUAUAUGGUUCAGCUGAGGUCGUCAGUUUGUCAUCACACACAGCCAGCACUGCU
This is a long non-coding RNA of Anas platyrhynchos (mallard), 2171 nucleotides long. RefSeq lists it as uncharacterized. The record is from RefSeq and is a predicted model, not a curated record. Lineage: Eukaryota; Metazoa; Chordata; Aves; Anseriformes; Anatidae.